GGGGAUAACGUUUGGAAACGAACGCUAAUACCGCAUAAGACCACACUUCCACAUGGGAGAGGGGUCAAAGGAGCAAUCCGCUGAAAGAUGGGCUCGCGUCCGAUUAGAUAGUUGGGGGGGUAACGGCCCACCAAGUCGACGAUCGGUAGCCGGACUGAGAGGUUGAACGGCCACAUUGGGACUGAGACACGGCCCAGACUCCUACGGGAGGCAGCAGUGAGGGAUAUUGGUCAAUGGGGGAAACCCUGAACCAGCAACGCCGCGUGAGGGAAGACGGUUUUCGGAUUGUAAACCUCUGUCCUCUGUGAAGAUAAUGACGGUAGCAGAGGAGGAAGCUCCGGCUAACUACGUGCCAGCAGCCGCGGUAAUACGUAGGGAGCGAGCGUUGUCCGGAUUUACUGGGUGUAAAGGGUGCGUAGGCGGGUAAGCAAGUCAGAAGUGAAAUCCAUAAGCUUAACCCAUGAACUGCUUUUGAAACUGUUUAUCUUGAGUGAAGUAGAGGUAGGCGGAAUUCCCGGUGUAGCGGUGAAAUGCGUAGAGAUCGGGAGGAACACCAGUGGCGAAGGCGGCCUACUGGGCUUUAACUGACGCUGAAGCACGAAAGCGUGGGUAGCAAACAGGAUUAGAUACCCU
This 633-nucleotide ribosomal RNA is filed under the name uncultured bacterium. RNAcentral describes it as "bacterial SSU rRNA". It matches the Rfam family "Bacterial small subunit ribosomal RNA", at positions 139 to 788 of the family's 1533-position model. The record is from RNAcentral.